Molecule: non-coding RNA, 612 nt
Organism: Gambusia affinis (western mosquitofish)
Lineage: Eukaryota; Metazoa; Chordata; Actinopteri; Cyprinodontiformes; Poeciliidae
Source: the annotation of a RefSeq genome assembly
AUGGUGCUUGAUCAUUUGACUCUUUUUAUAAAACUCACAGCAGCUAGAUGUCUACUGACAGUGCAGGAGGUUUUUGUACGGCCUCUCAAUGAGUUUGUAUCACAGUGGUACACUUUUGGUGGAGGAACCAAACUCAUCGUUGACUUGGGUGUGUUGCGGCCCACCCUGACCGUCCUCCCCCCCUCCAAAGAGCAGCAGCAGCAGAGCAGCGUCACUCUGGUGUGUCUGGCCAGCGGGGGCUUCCCCUCCACCUGGAGGCUGGGCUGGAAGGUGGGGGGCAGCAGCAGGUCCUCAGGGGUGUCUAGCAGCCUGGAGGUGCUGGGGGGGGACGGCCGCUACAGCUGGAGCAGCACCCUGAGCCUCCCUGCUGACCAGUGGAGGAAGGCGGGCUCAGUGAGCUGUGAGGCCAAUCAGAGUGGACAGAGUCCUGUCACUCAAACCCUGGAGCCUGACCGCUGCUCAGAGUAGAGCUGCAGCUUCAUGGCUGGAAACCAUCAUGCUGUCAUGUUUUAUUCACAAUCAUUACUUUUCACCUUUCAUUCGUCUUCCUUGUGUUUCUCAUGUAACUUGGAGUAAAUGGAUUGUUUCAAUAAAACUGCAGAUUUAUGAGAA